AUUUAAUACAAGCCUUCGACAUUAUAAUGUGCAAUGCACUCUCCAACAUAGCGAAUUUCAUCGGUUCGUUGACUGAAACAGAUAAUAUAAAUCUCAUGUUUAGAGAUAGUUUUUCAGCAUGUUUAUUACUUUAUCUUGAGUUGAAACUUUAAAAUUGUCAAAGAAAUGUUUCACCAAUGGAGGAAUGAACGUAGUAAUUGAUGACACCGUUGGGCCAUAAUAAAGUUUUAUCCUUCGUAACAGCUUUUCUCGAUUGCGACAAUUUAUGUAUAUCUCCUUCUCGUUGUUCACCUUCUUCGGGAUUAUCGUAUUGAGACCAUGUAUCAACUGUGUGUAAAAUGUUAUCAUUAAAAAGUAUGAUGUUUUUAGA
Long non-coding RNA from Cataglyphis hispanica, 370 nucleotides. RefSeq lists it as uncharacterized. The record is from RefSeq and is a predicted model, not a curated record. Lineage: Eukaryota; Metazoa; Arthropoda; Insecta; Hymenoptera; Formicidae. The transcript is spliced from 2 exons.